GGGGGGGGGGGGGGGGGGGGGUGGGGGGUGGGGGGCGGGCGGGGGGGGGCUGCUUUGGUGGGGUGCUCGGGUGGCGGACGGGGGGGUCACCCGUGGGUACCCUGCGCUUGAGUGGGGGAUACCUUCCGGGGACUGGGGCGCAUACCGGGUAGGCGCUCCUGCUGCAUUGUGGGGGUUGGACAGUUUCGGCGGUGGGGGAUGGACUCGCGGCUUAUCAGCCUGUUGGUGGGGUAGUGGCUUACCAAGGCUUUGACGGGUAGCCGGCCUGAGAGGGUGACCGGCCACAUUGGGACUGAGAUACGGCCCAGACUCCUACGGGAGGCAGCAGUGGGGAAUAUUGCACAAUGGGCGGAAGCCUGAUGCAGCAACGCCGCGUGCGGGAUGACGGCCUUCGGGUUGUAAACCGCUUUCGCCGGUGACGAAGCGUGAGUGACGGUAAUGGGUAAAGAAGCACCGGCUAACUACGUG
RNAcentral lists this ribosomal RNA (468 nucleotides) under uncultured bacterium. RNAcentral's name for it is "partial 16S ribosomal RNA". The stretch from base 53 to 468 matches the Rfam family "Bacterial small subunit ribosomal RNA", at positions 34 to 507 of the family's 1533-position model. The record is from RNAcentral.